AAAGAUGGAAGUGUGAAAAAAACAAGAAAUGAACAAGUAAAGAUUAAGCACACUUGAAGGAACAUGAAAAUGGCACCCAUUAAGAAUAAAUUGAUAAGAGAGAAUGGUAGAUGUACCUACACAAAAAAUUAUACCGAUACAAGUUGAAUAAAUAAAGAUGAUGAGAGGAAAACAAUAGUGGCAUAGAAUGAAGCAGUAAAUAAGGAUUUAGAAUUUUAGAUCACUAGGCCUUGUGAUAAAAUACAGUCCUAAACUAACUAGAAUGGAAGAAAAGGAUUAAUGCAACUGAUCAUGAUAGUUUACUAUUGAGGUUUAGCUGAGUUGAAUAACAAAGGCCUGUUAUUGAUAGUAAUUCCUCUUUUAGUUAUUAUCUG
Molecule: unclassified non-coding RNA, 374 nt
Filed under: Hevea brasiliensis (rubber tree)
Lineage: Eukaryota; Viridiplantae; Streptophyta; Magnoliopsida; Malpighiales; Euphorbiaceae
Source: RNAcentral